Molecule: long non-coding RNA, 623 nt
Organism: Mustela lutreola (European mink)
Lineage: Eukaryota; Metazoa; Chordata; Mammalia; Carnivora; Mustelidae
Exons: 6
Source: RefSeq, a predicted model, not a curated record
CGUAGGCAGAGGUUGAGGCCGGAGGCUGUCGGGCGCUCACCUGCGCGCACCUAGGCCCGCGGGGCGGUGGGCCUGAGGAGCGGCGCGGGCAUAGGCCUGGUCAUUCCUUCGACCAUUCAGUCAUUCAUUUCCUGAGCUGACUCAAAUUGAGAUGGGAUGUCUGUGGAUCAUAGAAAAAGUUCUGGAGAUGGUGAAGAGAUGUCCAAGCAGAAUUGCCACAACCUUUGAUGGCAAGAAGCAGCUUAAGUUGUAGAAUCUUGGGCCUUUCUUCUGACCACUGUAAGCAUCAAGAGAACAAGAGAUGACCCAUAAGUUGGCCCAAAUGGACCGGUAGCCAAUGAGAAUGUCAGCCCUUCCAUAAGCCCGUCUCCGCAGAGCUACAGGCAUUUUCAGGCCUCAUCUAGCCUCCUCAUGGGAAAAGAGGAUCCUCAAAGAACUUACAGUCUAGAAUAAGAGGCAGACACAGAAAUAGAAAAUUUCAAGAUCAAAGAAUAAAGACUGAGAACAAUUCCAGAUAUUUGGACAUGAUCUUGAUGAGCCUUCGCCUUGCUUUUCUUCUGGAGAAUAUGGGGAAACUGAGGUUUAGCAACACUCAGUGUAACUUGCUGAAGAUGACAGAUCUG